UACGAAGGGGACUAGCGUUGUUCGGAAUCACUGGGCGUAAAGCGCACGUAGGCGGAUGUGUCAGUCAGGGGUGAAAUCCCGGGGCUCAACCUCGGAACUGCCUUUGAUACAGCACGUCUCGAGUCCGGAAGAGGUGGGUGGAAUUCCUAGUGUAGAGGUGAAAUUCGUAGAUAUUAGGAAGAACACCGGUGGCGAAGGCGGCCCACUGGUCCGGUACUGACGCUGAGGCACGAAAGCGUGGGGAUCAAACAGG
RNAcentral lists this ribosomal RNA (253 nucleotides) under uncultured bacterium. Its description in RNAcentral is "partial 16S ribosomal RNA". It matches the Rfam family "Bacterial small subunit ribosomal RNA", at positions 524 to 776 of the family's 1533-position model. The record is from RNAcentral.